GCCAGUUGGCGCAGAGGUAGCGCGCCGUUCUUAUACUAGUCAUUUGCACUCGUAUGAAUAGUCAUGCGGAUGUCACGGGUUCGAAUCCCGUACGGAGUA
Molecule: non-coding RNA, 99 nt
Organism: Rhizodiscina lignyota
Lineage: Eukaryota; Fungi; Ascomycota; Dothideomycetes; Aulographales; Rhizodiscinaceae
Source: the annotation of a GenBank genome assembly